RNAcentral lists this ribosomal RNA (497 nucleotides) under uncultured bacterium. RNAcentral describes it as "partial 16S ribosomal RNA". It matches the Rfam family "Bacterial small subunit ribosomal RNA", at positions 28 to 507 of the family's 1533-position model. The record is from RNAcentral.
GAUGAACGCUGGCGGCGUGCCUAAUACAUGCAAGUCGAGCGAACAGACGAGGAGCUUGCUCCUCUGACGUUAGCGGCGGACGGGUGAGUAACACGUGGAUAACCUACCUAUAAGACUGGGAUAACUUCGGGAAACCGGAGCUAAUACCGGAUAAUAUAUUGAACCGCAUGGUUCAAUAGUGAAAGACGGUUUUGCUGUCACUUAUAGAUGGAUCCGCGCCGCAUUAGCUAGUUGGUAAGGUAACGGCUUACCAAGGCAACGAUGCGUAGCCGACCUGAGAGGGUGAUCGGCCACACUGGAACUGAGACACGGUCCUGACUCCUACGGAAGGCAGCAGUAGGGAAUCUUCCGCAAUGGGCGAAAGCGUGACGGAGCAACGCCGCGUGAGUGAUGAAGGUCUUCGGAUCGUAAAACUCUGUUAUUAGGGAAGAACAAAUGUGUAAGUAACUAUGCACGUCUUGACGGUACCUAAUCAGAAAGCCACGGCUAACUACGUG